AUCUAUCUGAAGAGUCCUAAGUGAGACGAAACGCGCGUCCUGCAU
RNAcentral lists this non-coding RNA (45 nucleotides) under Schistosoma mansoni. The record is from RNAcentral. Lineage: Eukaryota; Metazoa; Platyhelminthes; Trematoda; Strigeidida; Schistosomatidae.